Molecule: ribosomal RNA, 891 nt
Filed under: Pulvinora pringlei
Lineage: Eukaryota; Fungi; Ascomycota; Lecanoromycetes; Lecanorales; Lecanoraceae
Description: partial small subunit ribosomal RNA
Rfam family: Bacterial small subunit ribosomal RNA
Source: RNAcentral
AAAUAAUUGAUGCAAUAUCGACUCGGUUGAUUAAAAUUCUAGGUAGAAUUAUGAUAAUGACAUUGUCUGCCUAUGUGUCUUGGCCAAAUUACGUGCCAGCAGUCGCGAUAAUACGUAGAAGACUAGUGUUAUUCAUCUUUAAUAGGUUUAAAGGGUACCUAGACGGUAAAUCAAGCCUGCAAUAUGGGACUAAUGUACUAGAGUUACUUAUGAGGGGGUUUUAAAGUACUGCUGGUGUAGAGAUGAAAUUCUGUCAUACCUUGUUUCGUAAUAGAAAUUAUGGCACAGGUAUAGGCGAAAGCAUCCUCUUAUGUGAUAACUGACGUUGAAGGACGAAGGCUUUGUGUAGCGAACAGGAUUAGAUACCCCAGUAGUCAAAGCAGAAAAUGAUGAAUGUCAUAGAUUAGACAUAUAAUAGUUUUUUCUAUAAAUGAAAGUGUAAGCAUUCCACCUCAAGAGUAAUUUGGCAACAUUGGAACUGAAAUCAUUAGACCGUUUCUGAAACCAGUAGUGAAGUAUGUUGUUUAAUUUGAUAAUCCGCAAAAAACCUUACCACAAUUUGAAUAUUUAGAUUACNCUUGCCUUUUCUUUUNNUUUGNGUNNUNNNUUGNCANUGNNNNUNGCNNGCAAAGCANGCANCAAGANAAGUCAUUACAAGUNNNGUNNNCUAANANNNNNNAGAGAUAUAUUUACAAGCGUUGCACGGCUGUCUUCAGUUAAUGUCGUGAGAUUCUGGUUAGUUCCAUUAAUUAACGUAAACCCUUACUUUAUUUUUAUAUAGAGUUGUUCCCCGCUAGAUUGGAUAAGAUAACAGGGACUAGGACAAGUCAUCAUGGCCUAAAUAUUGUGGGCUAUAGACGUGCCACAUAAACCUUACAAAAGGAUGUGAAU